RNAcentral lists this ribosomal RNA (423 nucleotides) under uncultured bacterium. Its description in RNAcentral is "partial 16S ribosomal RNA". It matches the Rfam family "Bacterial small subunit ribosomal RNA", at positions 360 to 775 of the family's 1533-position model. The record is from RNAcentral.
AAUUUUGGACAAUGGGGGAAACCCUGAUCCAGCCAUCCCGUAUGUAUGAUGAAUGCCUUCGGGUUGUAAAGUACUUUUGGUAGAGAAGAAAAGGUACCUCCUAAUACGAGGUACUGCUGACUGUAUCUGCAGAAUAAGUACGGGCUAACUCCGUGCCAUCCGCCGCGGUAAUACGUAUGGUCCAAGCGUUAAUCGGAAUUACUGGGCGUAAAGCGUGUGUAGGCGGUUCGGAAAGAAAGAUGUGAAAUCCCAGGGCUCAACCUUGGAACUGCAUUUUUAACUGCCGAGCUAGAGUAUGUCAGAGGGGGGUAGAAUUCCACGUGUAGCAGUGAAAUACGUAGAUAUGUGGAGGAAUACCGAUGGCGAAGGCAGCCCCCUGGGAUAAUACUGACGCUCAGACACGAAAGCGUGGGGAGCAAACAG